RNAcentral lists this ribosomal RNA (254 nucleotides) under uncultured bacterium. RNAcentral describes it as "partial 16S ribosomal RNA". It matches the Rfam family "Bacterial small subunit ribosomal RNA", at positions 524 to 776 of the family's 1533-position model. The record is from RNAcentral.
UACGUAGGGGGCGAGCGUUGUCCGGAUUCAUUGGGCGUAAAGAGCUCGUAGGCGGCUUGGCAAGUCGGGUGUGAAAACUCCAGGCUCAACCUGGGGACGCCACUCGAUACUGCUGUGACUAGAGUCCGGUAGGGGAGCGUGGAAUUCCUGGUGUAGCGGUGAAAUGCGCAGAUAUCAGGAGGAACACCAGCGGCGAAGGCGGCGCUCUGGGCCGGUACUGACACUGAGGAGCGAAAGCGUGGGUAGCAAACAGG